CUUAAGUGAAAAUAGUAAAGUCUAGAAGUGAGUCUGGGGAGAGAAACAUCCCCGUGCACAGACACCAGCAUGUGAGCUGAGGCGGGGCAGACGCUGUGAUGGCUCCCUGCCGAGGUGCAGGCAGAGGAUGAGAACAGGUGUAUCGAGAUGCAAGGCCCAUCCACCCUCCCGAGAGGCUCUGCCCUCUGGGAAAGCAGGAAGGCGGUCCCGGGACCCGGUGCCGUUCUAAGAUGUUUUUCUUCUGGGCCUUCGGUUCCGUGGCUGCGUAGGGGCGUUGGUGAGCAGGGGACAGGACUGCGACUGGAUGUCUGUAGUGACAGGAGCUUAUUCCCGAAAGGAAAUGUGGCCACUAGGCUAAGAAGAUGAGGGCUUGAAAAAAAGCAAAGCUUGGAAUUCCUGCCAGAGGUGAAUGGAUGAAGAUAUAGCUGGUUUAACUUUGUAUUGGGACUCUGAUAUGCUCCCUUAUUGUCACUGCUUCCAUGGACCCUUUAGGUAAGAUUCCUAAAUGCACGAUCCUCCAUCUGGCUAUAUUAAAAUGUGAUGUCAGAAGAUAUUUCAUUGUCUUCUUUUUCUAAAAGAUAAAUUCUAAUGGGGUCUGACACUGUAAGCACUAUAGCAAGGGCUCUCUUCUGAAUGUAUUCUGAUUUGGGCAAUUUCAUUCUCUCCACCAAAAUUCUGCUGAAAUUUUAGGUCCUCUAGCCUUCCCAAACAGCAUUUCUCUUUCCAGUCAUCAUAUUUCUCUACAUCAGCAACAUCAAUGAAUCAAAGGCUUAAGCCUAAGACAACUCUGAAUUCCCUGGGCAUUUCUGCAAUUAAAUAUUGAGAAUUAGUUUCUUUUAAAAUAUUUUCCAUAUAAUUUGUGCUUCAGAGCACAUUUUUUUUUUUAACAUAGGCCCUUUAGUUCAUAACAUAAUCCUUUUAGUUUAGUGUGAAUUUUGGAUUUAUUUUCAGGUUGUAAAUAAUGCAUCCAUUAAGCUGUAUGUUUAACAUUGCUUGGUUUCCUGUUAGUAUUUACCCCGCAGUAAUCUUCAGCAAUAGAACAGUGAAAGGUUCUGUUUAUCAUUUGGUGCUCAUUUAUUAUUAAUCUAAGAUUUGACAGACUCCAAGAGUCUAUUGUUGUUUCUUGUGGCACGUAAGUGAGCUAGAGGAACUGAUAGAUUGUUCAUGUUCAAUGGAAAUAAUAAUAUGCAUUUUUCUAGAGUAUUGAUGUGUUUCCAAAUACGCUACCUGUUAAAGGAGAUAAUUG
RNAcentral lists this long non-coding RNA (1246 nucleotides) under Parus major (Great Tit). RNAcentral's name for it is "lncRNA (ENSPMJG00000005364.1)". Lineage: Eukaryota; Metazoa; Chordata; Aves; Passeriformes; Paridae. The record is from RNAcentral.